UACGAAACUCUAUGAAGUAGAUCCCGCUGCAUGUUUAUGUACCUGAAUGCAAGCGCGUUUGUGUAUUUUUGAUGUCUUUUAAAGGUUUCGCAAUGACGGGUUGCUCAGUUUUGCUUUGCUAUUAGAGAGCUGUACUUAUAGAUCUAUUGUGUUUUAAAAGUUGUUAAAUUCGGCAGACUCUGCUAGGCAAUGGUCUGAUGUGCCGAUAAAUAAUACAUUAACUCAUGUGAAUACUCAAGUCCGUUUCACCGGAAUUGAAAAAUUCAUUGAUCAAAUCGUUACCUGUGUAAGGUUUUGAAAACAAUUUGCUCAUCAAUUUGAAAGUAAUAUGUAUACUACCUAUUGGAAUCUCUCUGUCUAUGCGUGUUAAACAUACUUUAAAACAUAUUUCCAACCAAAUCGACAUUAACAUAUGGACCUAUCGAAUUAAAAUUG
Molecule: non-coding RNA, 435 nt
Organism: Schizosaccharomyces pombe (fission yeast)
Lineage: Eukaryota; Fungi; Ascomycota; Schizosaccharomycetes; Schizosaccharomycetales; Schizosaccharomycetaceae
Source: the annotation of a GenBank genome assembly